Molecule: non-coding RNA, 29 nt
Filed under: Mus musculus (house mouse)
Lineage: Eukaryota; Metazoa; Chordata; Mammalia; Rodentia; Muridae
Source: RNAcentral
UGGCCAUUACACAGCGGUUUCUAUGAUGC